This 200-nucleotide ribosomal RNA is filed under the name uncultured bacterium. Its description in RNAcentral is "partial 16S ribosomal RNA". It matches the Rfam family "Bacterial small subunit ribosomal RNA", at positions 524 to 723 of the family's 1533-position model. The record is from RNAcentral.
UACGAAGGGGGCUAGCGUUGUUCGGAAUUACUGGGCGUAAAGCGCGCGUAGGCGGUGUUCCAUGUCAGAGGUGAAAUCCCGGAGCUCAACUUCGGAAUUGCCUUUGAAACGGGGACGCUUGAGUCCGAGAGAGGAUGGCGGAAUUCCUAGUGUAGAGGUGAAAUUCGUAGAUAUUAGGAAGAACACCGGUGGCGAAGGCG